CCUUUGUUUUCUGACCAGCUGCAUCCACCCACAGGUCUGCUGGAGAGUUCUACGAAGCAGUGGGUGUCUCGCAGCUUCUUGCUGCACAGCUGGGCUCUCAAAUUUAGAGUCCAUGAGCUUUGAGAAAAGCUCACAGACAUAAUUACGUUCUCCACCCAUAGCCAGGCUCAAUCCAGAGAGGCGUUGGCUCAGUUUGCAUCAGGCUGUGUCAUGGCACCACAGAUUUAAAUUGUGUUCUUCCACAACAGAAGGCAUCUUAGAAGUCUUUUCUCCAGAAGGAUUUGUGUUUUCUUCUGCACAGGAUCCAGGGAGACACAACUGAUCUAUAGACUAUUUCAAGCCCCUGUAGGGGUCCAAGAUUAUGUAGGACUCUGGACAAGUUCUCUCAUUUUGCUGCUGGCCCAAAGAUUAAGGAUACUACUGAACAAAUCACAGGGCUAAUAUUGAAAUUUGACCCUCAAAAACUCUGUCAUUUAUGUUAUGUUGUACAAUUGGAAUUAAUGGACCAUUGCAUGUCAACUAUUGGAUUUUUUACCUAUUUAAUACCUGUCCUUUGACCUCAGGGAUAUCUGUGUGCUACACACUUCUCUUAGGGGUACAACAUUGGCAGC
This is a long non-coding RNA of Canis lupus familiaris (dog), 611 nucleotides long. RefSeq lists it as uncharacterized. The record is from RefSeq and is a predicted model, not a curated record. The transcript is spliced from 3 exons. NCBI's taxonomy places the organism in Eukaryota, Metazoa, Chordata, Mammalia, Carnivora, Canidae.